Molecule: ribosomal RNA, 1284 nt
Filed under: uncultured bacterium
Lineage: Bacteria
Description: bacterial SSU rRNA
Rfam family: Bacterial small subunit ribosomal RNA
Source: RNAcentral
AGAGUUUGCUCCUGGCUCAGGAUGAACGCUGGCGGCGUGCCUAACACAUGCAAGUCGAACGGGGCGCGCCGGCGGGGGCCCUCCGGGGCUGAAGCCGGCGCCGCCCAGUGGCGGACGGGUGAGUAACGCGUGGGCAACCUGCCCCGCACUGGGGGACAACAGCCGGAAACGGCUGCUAAUACCGCAUGGGCGCACAGCCCCGCAUGGGGCGGUGCGGAAAGCCUUGGCGGUGCGGGAUGGGCCCGCGUCUGAUUAGCUUGUUGGCGGGGCAACGGCCCACCAAGGCGACGAUCAGUAGCCGGCCUGAGAGGGUGGGCGGCCACAUUGGGACUGAGACACGGCCCAAACUCCUACGGGAGGCAGCAGUGGGGGAUAUUGCACAAUGGGGGGAACCCUGAUGCAGCGACGCCGCGUGGGCGAUGGAGCGCCUCGGCGCGUAAAGCCCUAUCAGCAGGGAAGAAAAUGACGGUACCUGACUAAGAAGCCCCGGCUAAAUACGUGCCAGCAGCCGCGGUAAUACGUAUGGGGCAAGCGUUAUCCGGAUUUACUGGGUGUAAAGGGAGCGCAGGCGGCCUGGCAAGCCUGAUGUGAAAUACCGGGGCCCAACCCCGGGGCUGCAUUGGGAACUGCCAGGCUGGAGUGCCGGAGAGGCAGGCGGAAUUCCUAGUGUAGCGGUGAAAUGCGUAGAUAUUAGGAGGAACACCAGUGGCGAAGGCGGCCUGCUGGACGGUGACUGACGCUGAGGCUCGAAAGCGUGGGGAGCAAACAGGAUUUAGAUACCCUGGGUAGUCCACGCCGUAAACGAUGAAUACCAGGUGUCGGGGCGCAAGGCGCCCCGGUGCCGCAGCAAACGCAGUAAGUAUUCCACCUGGGGAGUACGUUCGCAAGAACGAAACUCAAAGGAAUUGACGGGGACCCGCACAAGCGGUGGAGCAUGUGGUUUAAUUCGAAGCGACGCGAAGAACCUUACCAAGCCUUGACAUCCCGCCGGCAGCAUAUGCAACGUAUGCCCCCUUCGGGGCGGCGGAGACAGGUGGUGCAUGGUUGUCGUCAGCUCAUGUCGUGAGAUGUUGGGUUAAGUCCCGCAACGAGCGCAACCCCUGCCCCCAGUAGCCAGCGCGUGAGGGCGGGCACUCUGGGGGGACUGCCAGGGACAACCUGGAGGAGGGCGGGGACGACGUCAAAUCAUCAUGCCCCUUAUGGCUUGGGCUACACACGUGCUACAAUGGCGCGGACAGAGGGAUGCGACGUGGCGACACGGAGCGAACCCCAAAACCCGCGCCC